AAAAUAAGCUGAUUCUAUAGGACAGAAAAAGGAAGAGGGCAGGGGUCAUAAGGGGAUGUAAGCAUAAGAUACCCAAGCCAGAAACAGCAACCCUUCCAGGUCCCCUUCCCCCACGUGGAAGCUUUCCUUUCACUUUCGCUUUAAUAAAUCUUGCCGCAGCACACUCUCUAAUCGAGCUGUAACACUCGCCACUGCCGUCCACGGCUUCAUUCCUUGAAGCCGUGAGACCACGAACCCUUCGAUUGAGAAGAACCUUCGGUCGGAAGAAGACUUCUCGUCUCAGUAACAAUAACAAGAAAAACAGCCUAGACUAGACGCACAUCAGGAAGACAGUUAAUCCCGUCAUGUAUUGACCCGGAAACAUCAUCUCAUUUGCCUAUAAGACAGAGAGAGAGAAUGAUAGAAAUGCUGGAAGAACGAGCCUUGGGGCGGUAUCGCCCAGAUCUGAAUCCACACAGCAGCUGCUUCGGUCCCUGUAACUCAAGGCUUCCUCUUAAUCCUCUGUCCUCCAUCAACACCUGGCUGAGCAGGAACAACUAUGACCUAGGACCAGGGCCUUCAGGAAUCUUCACCCCUAACUUGAACUUCAUAACACUGGAGAGAGAGACUGUGGAAUGGAAUGACUCUCCAGAGCUGCAGAUUGAAGGCAUAUUUUCAUCUGACUUUGAUCUCAAUGGCGGGAACACCUUCAUGGCCCCUUUAUAGCUGGAUGAUCAUUUCCUGUUCUCUCCACCAUGGCCACCUGGUCCAAGCCACCAUCUUCAUGCACCUGGAUACCUGCCAUAACCUCAGCUGACCUUUCCUGUGUCCAUUCUUGUUCCUUUGGGCCCAGUCUCCUCGCUCAUAGCAGCAGAAUGAGUCUAUUAAAAAGUGAAACAAUUUCUGUCA
Molecule: long non-coding RNA, 888 nt
Filed under: Homo sapiens (human)
Lineage: Eukaryota; Metazoa; Chordata; Mammalia; Primates; Hominidae
Description: non-protein coding LINC00944:1
Source: RNAcentral